This 231-nucleotide unclassified non-coding RNA is filed under the name fungal sp. RNAcentral describes it as "partial internal transcribed spacer region". The stretch from base 1 to 48 matches the Rfam family "Eukaryotic small subunit ribosomal RNA", at positions 1784 to 1831 of the family's 1831-position model. The record is from RNAcentral. Lineage: Eukaryota; Fungi.
AAAAGUCGUAACAAGGUUUCCGUAGGUGAACCUGCGGAAGGAUCAUUACCAGAAGAGACCCUAACCGGUCCUCUCAACCCUGCCCAUCGUACCCUUUGUGUUGUUCCCUCGGCGAGGCUUUUCAAGCCCGCCGGCGGGAAGAUCAACGAAACUCUUUGCAAGCAAGCAUCCUGAAACCUCUGAUCGAAUACAAAUUGUCACAACUUUCAACAAUGGAUCUCUUGGUUCUGG